ACAUCUUAAGCUAAAUGGUUCAGCAGUGGCCUUCGGAGCUAUCAUUAAUUGGUUCGAAUCCAAUAAGAUGCG
Molecule: transfer RNA, 72 nt
Filed under: Taiwanofungus camphoratus
Lineage: Eukaryota; Fungi; Basidiomycota; Agaricomycetes; Polyporales; Taiwanofungaceae
Also listed under: 1 other name
Description: tRNA-Arg
Rfam family: tRNA
About the family: Transfer RNA (tRNA) molecules are approximately 80 nucleotides in length. Their secondary structure includes four short double-helical elements and three loops (D, anti-codon, and T loops). Further hydrogen bonds mediate the characteristic L-shaped molecular structure. tRNAs have two regions of fundamental functional importance: the anti-codon, which is responsible for specific mRNA codon recognition, and the 3' end, to which the tRNAs corresponding amino acid is attached (by aminoacyl-tRNA synthetases). tRNAs cope with the degeneracy of the genetic code in two manners: having more than one tRNA (with a specific anti-codon) for a particular amino acid; and 'wobble' base-pairing, i.e. permitting non-standard base-pairing at the 3rd anti-codon position.
Source: RNAcentral